Long non-coding RNA from Sarcophilus harrisii (Tasmanian devil), 1800 nucleotides. The record is from Ensembl. Lineage: Eukaryota; Metazoa; Chordata; Mammalia; Dasyuromorphia; Dasyuridae.
AACAGCAGCAGGAGCAGUAGCAGUGGUGGUGGUGGUGGUGGUAAUAGUGUAGCAGCAGCAGCAGUACUAUUUAUACUAAUAGUAGCCAUAACAGUAACAGCACUGGCAACAGCAGUAGCAGCAGUAGUAAGGAGUAUGGAAGGACGCUAUAACACUACCAUUAUCCCUUCCACAUUGCAACUUUCCCCAUAGCGGUGAUGUGUCAUCAGCAGGCGAGAGAAAUUAAAGGGGGAUUUGAGGAGAGUUUUUCAGAAGCCAAAGAUAACAUAAGAAGACUAGCAGAUGACACAGAGCCUAUGACCAAAUACUUAGCCCAGAUUUUACAGGAGGUUCCUAUAAACACCUCAUGAGAGAAAAAGAAAAAAAUCAGACUUCUUCUUUAGUAUGAAGAUAGGGUCAAAAAAUCUUGUGUAGAUUUUCCAGAUCAGAGAGGCUCUGCUCCCCAACCCCUGUGAUGUGGAAGAGGAUAACUGUAAUUAGCACCAGAACCAGAAUUCCAGAGGACUGAUGGUGACUAAUACUUCCUGCCUAUCAACAGAGAAGUGAUGGACUUUUGGUAUAGAACGAGACAUACACUGUCACAUGUGGCCCUGUGUAAGUUGCUUGGUUUUGCUCUAUUUCUUGGUUACAUUUGUUACAUAUCUUUGUUUCUUUGUACCUAUGGGAGAGAGGGUAGGCAAGUCAUUGUGAAGUUUCAACAGUGUUAAAAAGCCCGAGUCCUCCCUACAGAGGUUUCAUGAGACAAAGAAACCGAGAGGGUCUUCACAAACAACAGAACCCCAGUGCAAAACAUUUCAAAAGAAAAGAAUUCUUGCUAAGUGCAAAAAAUACUGUAUCAAGAAUACUGUCCUGCCAUUGUUUGUCUCUAAACUUUGCUGCUGCUGAAAUCCCAAGGACAAAGGGACAGGAAACAGGAUUGUUCUGGAACAGUCUGGAUGUUAUUCUACCGAGCAUGUUGAUAAAACACAGCUCCUGCACUCUGAGCCAAGGUGGAAGGGAUAGUGUACAUGUGAGAAUGGGCUCAGAUUGGAACCUGGUCUUUUGUUUUGUUCAUCAGCACGGGCCAGCAGCUAUUGACUACAAAAGGUAUGGGGAAAGGAGGAGGAAGAAAUCUAUGAUGUUAGAGGUCUACAAUUUGCAAGAUUACAAUGGAGUAUUCCAGCUGUUCACCUGUCAUCUCUCAUUCUUGCCAUUAAAUAAGCCUUUAUUCUAUCAUAGAAUUUUUUUCAUGACUUCUUUUACUGCUGCUUAUCUUUGUAGUCACUGAUGAGUUAAAUGGUUCAAUCUUCUCAGAUCCUCCCAGUGCCUUUCCAUUUCAUUCAAUGUAAUACUCAUUUAAAAAUUUCUGAGGUUGACCAUUUGAAUGUUAAGUGAUGAAAAGAUGGGCCCUGAGAGAGUAAAGGAGCUUUGCCAUUUCUCAAAUUCAAUCCAACCCAAUUCUUAUCAUCUUGUUAUUUAUUUGUGUUAUCUAUCAUGAUUCUGUAGGGUGUCCACUUAAAUGUGUAUUGCUAUCUAGGUAGUUCUUCACCUGCUUGGUCUUUCCUUUGCAAAUGGAUAAGAUCACUUAGAAUAAUCACAGAUUUCUUCCAGGAGGCUCUAUGAUAUUCUGGGACUUGUUCCCAAAACAGGAACAUCUGGAAGAUGGGAUCAAAUGAUCCAUGUGAAAAACUCUAUAUUCAAUCUCUUCUAUCACAGUCAUGAAGACAUAUAUCUGUAUGUAGGAAUUAUAUAUACAUAUAAAGCAUACACCUAUGUUUUAUAUCUUAAUGUUUAUUAUCAGGAGGCCAAUGAAAAUAGAUU